Molecule: ribosomal RNA, 253 nt
Filed under: uncultured bacterium
Lineage: Bacteria
Description: partial 16S ribosomal RNA
Rfam family: Bacterial small subunit ribosomal RNA
Source: RNAcentral
UACGAAGGGUGCAAACGUUGCUCGGAAUUAUUGGGCGUAAAGAGCUCGUAGGCGGCUUGUCACGUCGGGUGUGAAAGCCCGGGGCUUAACCCCGGGUCUGCAUUCGAUACGGGCAGGCUAGAGUGUGGUAGGGGAGAUCGGAAUUCCUGGUGUAGCGGUGAAAUGCGUAGAUAUCGAGAGGAACACCUGCGGCGAAGGCGGGUUGCUGGGCUGACACUGACGCUGAGGCGCGAAAGCUAGGGGAGCGAACGGG